AUCAAACCAACAAGUGGCUAGUAGGCUUUUUUCUACAGGACAAAAAAAACUUACAUCAUCUGCCCUUACAGUGUUGGUGAAGCUUAAAAACCAGCACCUACAAAGGAAGCUGCCUGAAUGAUUUCCACUGGUUCCACCCAACCAAGGCUGAUCACAUAUUCAAAAACACUUUUAAAAUAUGAACCUAUGUAAGAAUAUAAGGUAUCAUAAUUACCCCUAAACCCUUAAUGACUGAUGUUACAUGUUAAUUAUGUGUUACUAUCUCAUCCAACAAUCACCAGAAUCCCUUUACAUUCACAGCUGAGGUGUGCAGCAGCACAGGGGAAAGGUUCCAGAUCUUCUGUGCUAAGAAAAUUUACACCCUGAUGGCAGGAAGGUGGUAUUUUGCAUCCAAGGAUGUCAUGGCUGGAGAAAUGAGAGUUGGCUGGAGCAGGCCAGGUUGUCAACCCAAUCAGGAACUUGGCUCAGGUGAAUGUGCCUUUGCUUCUGAUGGCUUUGAGGGGAGAAGAGGAUGAGAUGAGAUGAGGAGAGAGAUAAAUGAGAAGAUGUUUUAGAUGAAAAUUAACAGAAACUGUCAGUGAAUUGGAUGAACAGAAUUUGCAGAUGAACUGAAAUUGGUGCUCAAGGAGAAUGAAGAAUUAAGAUUUACUUCAAUACUUUUAGUUUCCCAUCUGAGGGAUGCUAAUACAACAGCAAGCAGAAGAGCCUGUUGAAAUUCAUGGAAAGGAAUAUAUUGGACUCUGCCCCAGGCUCCUGGCACAGAGCUCCUAAAUCCUUUGCAAUGUUCUAUGUGAUCAGAGUACUGGGAUCAUCUUUUGUUCUGAUGUUUGGUCUUUGACCCUGGUUCCUGACACAGAACUCCUAAAUUCCUUGGACUCUCCUGGGUGAUAUGAAUAUUUUUGGACCUAAUGAAGCAACUGGCUAAUGGAAAGCCCAAGCCAAUUAUUUAGAACUUGGAACUUUUAGCAGCCCUCCUUCUCAUUCUCCAGAGAGGAGAGAGGGGCUGAAAAUGGAGUUAAUAAUCAAUUAUGCCUAUAUGAUGAAGACUCCAUAAAAAUCUCAAUAAUAGAAGUUUGGAGAGCUUCAGGGUUGGUGAACCCAGAAGAUUUCUUCAUGGACAAAUGAUUCUUUUGUAGCCCUUUUUCUACACCCAUAGGAGGGGGAGAGUCAGGAGCCUCCAAUUCUGUCAUUGUGAUGUUCUAAUUGUAUGCAUAAAAAGGAUUAACAUACUGAAUUUUAUGUUGUGAGAAUUACAUCUAAAUAAAAAUGCAUUUAAGGGAGUGUC
Sus scrofa (pig) is the source of this 1285-nucleotide non-coding RNA. NCBI's taxonomy places the organism in Eukaryota, Metazoa, Chordata, Mammalia, Artiodactyla, Suidae. The record is from RefSeq and is a predicted model, not a curated record.